Molecule: ribosomal RNA, 255 nt
Filed under: uncultured bacterium
Lineage: Bacteria
Description: partial 16S ribosomal RNA
Rfam family: Bacterial small subunit ribosomal RNA
Source: RNAcentral
UACGUAGGGUGCGAGCGUUUGUCCGGAAUUAUUGGGCGUAAAGGGCUCGUAGGCGGUUUGUCGCGUCGGGAGUGAAAUCCACUGGCUUAACUGGUGGCUUGCUUUCGGUACGGGCAGACUGGAGGUAUGCAGGGGAGAACGGAAUUCCUGGUGUAGCGGUGAAAUGCGCAGAUAUCAGGAGGAACACCGGUGGCGAAGGCAGGUCUCUGGGCCAUUACUGACACUGAGAAGCGAAAGCAUGGGGGAGCGAACAGG